GAGCUCGUAGGCGGUUUGUCGCGUCUGGUGUGAAAACUCAAGGCUCAACCUUGAGCUUGCAUCGGGUACGGGCAGACUAGAGUGCGGUAGGGGUGACUGGAAUUCCUGGUGUAGCGGUGGAAUGCGCAGAUAUCAGGAGGAACACCGAUGGCGAAGGCAGGUCACUGGGCCGCAACUGACGCUGAGGAGCGAAAGCAUGGGGAGCGAACAGGAUUAGAUACCCUGGUAGUCCAUGCCGUAAACGUUGGGCACUAGGUGUGGGGCUCAUUCCACGAGUUCCGUGCCGCAGCAAACGCAUUAAGUGCCCCGCCUGG
RNAcentral lists this ribosomal RNA (314 nucleotides) under Cellulomonas sp. Its description in RNAcentral is "bacterial SSU rRNA". It matches the Rfam family "Bacterial small subunit ribosomal RNA", at positions 565 to 876 of the family's 1533-position model. The record is from RNAcentral. Lineage: Bacteria; Bacillati; Actinomycetota; Actinomycetes; Micrococcales; Cellulomonadaceae.